This is a long non-coding RNA of Xenia sp. Carnegie-2017, 673 nucleotides long. RefSeq lists it as uncharacterized. The record is from RefSeq and is a predicted model, not a curated record. Lineage: Eukaryota; Metazoa; Cnidaria; Anthozoa; Malacalcyonacea; Xeniidae. The transcript is spliced from 3 exons.
UUCCUUUCAGUGGACUUCUGUAUUCCAGCUAUUCUAGUUUUUUGAUAAAAUUUUGCACCAAUACCCAUCGUGACAUUCUUGUAACACAAAAUGAGUGAAUUUGAUUGGUUAUUCCAUAUAUGGCGAUCAGCAUGCAAUAUACAAAAUGGCCAUCAUCGACAAGAAGUCAAAGUCCAUAAACACGCAUUAAAUAUGUUUGAUAUUUUUGAUUAUAUAAGGUGAUGGAAGGACAACAUUUUAUGCUCACAAUGUUCUUGACAUCCUUGCUUGUGACAAUAGUGAUGCUGGUGAUUCAGAUAGCAGCAGUGACAAUGAAUGUUGGGAACAGAUACAGGGAGAAUACUCUGGCAGCAGUGAUGAUGAUGGUGAGUUUGAAAAUGUGAGUGGGGAAAUCGAUGAUAGUGAUGACAAUGAUGAUAACAUGCCCCUAGCUUCAAUGCGAACAAGUAAGCCGAGUUGGAGAAAAACUUCAUUUGUUGUGUCGGAAACUAGUGUAUCAUUUACUGGUCCAAACGUUGAAGCCCCAGUGAACAUGGAAACAAAAACUCCUCUUCAAUAUUUUAAGCAAUUUGUGAGUGAUGAUAUGCUUCAAAAUUUGGUGACAAGCACCAAUGAAUACAGUGUCCAAAAGUCUGGAAACUCAAUAAACACUAAUAAAAAAGAGAUAGAACAA